ACUAUAGGUACGGAGUAUCUUUGCAGAAGUGAAACUCGUGCCUGAACUAUUGACGUUUGUGUCACCAAAUUGGGCGAAGGGGAUCUGAAGCACCAUUUAUGGGGAAUGUUGCUGGUUCUUUGGAAACGUCAGUAUUUUCUGCGGGACUUUCUUACAGCCAGUUCACCGUUCAGUUUAGCGGACGAAAGUUUGCGGACUCGUACAGAUCUGGUUGCCAAAUGUACGAAGUAACAUUGGUUUGGCCUGCACGAAGCCUUGAGGACGCGAGCCUUUCUGUCGAUUUCAAAACAGUUUCCCAUCCGCGUCGAUCGACAGAUCGGAAUUCCAGGGCCCGCGAGCGGGACAUCCGGCGUUCUCAUCGGAAUGCGCGUUUCCAUCGGUUUCUCGGAGACCAAGGAGAGGUCCCCCAUCAGUCCUACUGAUGGAAACGGAAAAGGGGACCUCGUUGAGAAACAUAAUAACGACAGCAACGAGAAUAAAAAUGCUCGCAGCCCACUUCCGGCUGGCAGCUGUGAGGAAGGGAGCCUCCUGAGUUCCGGCAAGAGGGAGAAAGAGCUCAAGACCGAGGGGAACGUGGCACUCGUUCAAUUUUAACUUACUCAAGAUCGGUGGCCACGUGCUCCGAAUGGAACUUUCCCUUUCCGCAUUUUAAACCUAGAACCCGUGGGGUGCAAAAGGUACCGCAGAACCCACCAGGCAUCUUCAAGAGCUACCUCUUGCGAAGAAAAUUCACCGUGGAUGAUUUAUUAUCUGAUGUAUAUUUAACCCUUCGCAUUCGAAAGUUUUUCACUGGGAACAUUCAACAUUUUCCAAUUAGAUAUUCUUUGAAACUUACUGAUGAGAAAAAGUACACAGAUUGCGAAACAAAGCGAUUUGAAUAUUUCACAUAAUGAUGCACAAAAUCAACGCUAUAGCUAUAUGAAACUUUAUAAUUUUGGUACAUCAAAUCAAGGGGUAACUGAGAAUCAACUCUCGACUGCGAAGGGUUAACACGUUAAGCGCCGCGAAAAUCUUGUCCGUUUUUCGGUAGAGUUAUUCUUUCGUAGCGAAAGAAAGUAGGAACAAUUAUUCAUUAUUUGGCGUUGCCAACUUGCGAACUUAUUAGUUCGUUGAAUGUCUUUUCAAACAUACCAAUUGUCUAAUGUUGCUUGUUAAUAUAAAUGUUGAAUGAAAUCUUUGUCAACUAAAUGAAAGCUAGUUCGUAUCCCUAUGGAAGGUUGCUUACAAUGAAAGGGCGAGAAAAUUCUGACGUACAGAGUUAAUUAGAAACAUCUGGCUCUAGCACUAUGGUAAUGAUGUGACAAAAGAAGAAAAUACCUACAUAAAUAAAAUUUCUACACUCGUUAUUCAUUCACAUUUCUAUGUUAUAUUGUAUACAGUCUUUUAAAGAAUGGUUACAAUUAAUACGUGAUUAUAUGGAAAUGAAAUAUUUUAUUCGAAAAACAAUAUAAAACGUAUUUUAUACUUCGUUCAUCGCCACCUUUUACAGUAUGAUAAUUGAGUAAACAAUGCUCAAUUUUAAGCAAAUUCGUGAUACAGAUGUACAGUUGCCUUUCAAUGCAAACAAUCAAAUAACAACUGUUAUUUAUUUCACUUCAACGUUGUCCCUGUUUUUCAUCAAAAUUAAUAUUAUAAUAAAAUUUAGUUGUAAAUUGUAUACAAUCUCGAAUAAUUGUAGUUGUCGCGUUAUCAUUUAUGCUAUUAUAAGUAACUAUUAAAUUAUUCUACUAAAAAAGUCC
Non-coding RNA from Nomia melanderi (Alkali bee), 1739 nucleotides. The record is from RefSeq and is a predicted model, not a curated record. NCBI's taxonomy places the organism in Eukaryota, Metazoa, Arthropoda, Insecta, Hymenoptera, Halictidae.